UGUUCGUUUCGUGAACUGGACGCGGCAUCCAGACGCAGACGCGGACCGAUGUUCGUUUGGUGCGAAAUAGGCGGUUAAGUUGGACGCAGCAUCCAAAUAUAUUUUCACAACUCAUCCGGAUUUUUCGGGAAUUCUGGAUGAGAUUUUUAAACGCUUCCAGAAACAGUAAACUCAUCCAAAAGUAAUAAAAAUCGAUAAUACCCUUAAUUUAUCUUAAAAAUUACAAAUUUUGCCUUUGAUUUCUAAACCUAAAAAAUAAAAUUGUUUUGUUGCCGUCGAAAUCAAAUCUGAUUCUCUGCAACCUCUCUUCAACCAUGAAUCCCCUCUAUCAAAGCACUCUGCGAGGAAACAGCACCCUCCAAGCUAAUCACUCUGUUCACAACCUCAUCAACUCUCUCAGCCAUCUCCCUAGCAUUGAGCGAAGAGUUAUUCACACCAGACUCUUCGUCAUCAACAAUCUCUUCCCCUAGAAACCGACUCACCAUCGACCUAAGCCUCUCUCUAGACUCCUCAAUCUUCGCACGCUCCUCUCCAGCUUCUCCGCAAGACUUCUCCUGCCUCUCCCGCAGCUCCGCCAGCUUCUCCCUACACGCAAGACUUCUCCUGCCUCUUGUGUGUUGUGACUAUCUGUUCAAGCUUCAAUGGCAUCUGUCCCUGGAAAGGAUCUGGAGUCCUAGAUGCAGUGUUGCUGUCAGUGUAGGCUACUAAUCUUUUGAGGAUGCACAGGUUCGAAUUGUUGCAGUUCAAGCUCUUACAACAAUAGUUCAAAUUUGCAUUUUUCUUUAAAACACAGACACCGCAAGGUUUGAUGUUUUGAGUAGAGAAGUUAAAAUACUUUAAGUCAUUUGAGUUUGAUGUUAUCAUUGUUGUAAAACAUGAAAAUAGAGUUUAAUGUUUAUUAUUGUUACUUUA
Molecule: long non-coding RNA, 912 nt
Organism: Brassica napus (rape)
Lineage: Eukaryota; Viridiplantae; Streptophyta; Magnoliopsida; Brassicales; Brassicaceae
Exons: 3
Source: RefSeq, a predicted model, not a curated record